This 404-nucleotide ribosomal RNA is filed under the name Vibrio parahaemolyticus. RNAcentral's name for it is "bacterial SSU rRNA". It matches the Rfam family "Bacterial small subunit ribosomal RNA", at positions 396 to 792 of the family's 1533-position model. The record is from RNAcentral. Lineage: Bacteria; Pseudomonadati; Pseudomonadota; Gammaproteobacteria; Vibrionales; Vibrionaceae.
GCCGCGUGUGUGAAGAAGGCCUUCGGGUUGUAAAGCACUUUCAGUCGUGAGGAAGGUAGUGUAGUUAAUAGCUGCAUUAUUUGACGUUAGCGACAGAAGAAGCACCGGCUAACUCCGUGCCAGCAGCCGCGGUAAUACGGAGGGUGCGAGCGUUAAUCGGAAUUACUGGGCGUAAAGCGCAUGCAGGUGGUUUGUUAAGUCAGAUGUGAAAGCCCGGGGCUCAACCUCGGAAUUGCAUUUGAAACUGGCAGACUAGAGUACUGUAGAGGGGGGUAGAAUUUCAGGUGUAGCGGUGAAAUGCGUAGAGAUCUGAAGGAAUACCGGUGGCGAAGGCGGCCCCCUGGACAGAUACUGACACUCAGAUGCGAAAGCGUGGGGAGCAAACAGGAUUAGAUACCCCGGUA